GAUGAACGCUGGCGGCGUGCUUAACACAUGCAAGUCGAGCGGUAAGGCCCUUUCGGGGGUACGACGAGCGGCGAACGGGUGAGUAACACGUGGGUGACCUGCCCUUAGCUCUGGGAUAAGCCUGGGAAACUGGGUCUAAUACCGGAUAUGACUCCAUGACGCAUGUUGUGGGGUGGAAAGCCUUGUGCGGCUAGGGAUGGGCCCGCGGCCUAUCAGCUUGUCGGUGGGGUGANGGCCUACCAAGGCGACGACGGGUAGCCGGCCUGAGAGGGCGACC
This 277-nucleotide ribosomal RNA is filed under the name uncultured bacterium. RNAcentral describes it as "partial 16S ribosomal RNA". It matches the Rfam family "Bacterial small subunit ribosomal RNA", at positions 28 to 305 of the family's 1533-position model. The record is from RNAcentral.